UGCGGGUUGGUGUAAUUGGUAAACAUGUUUGGCUCAUGUCCAAAAUAUAAGGGUUCAAAUCCUUUAUCCGCAC
This 73-nucleotide transfer RNA is filed under the name Lactobacillus sp. RNAcentral describes it as "tRNA-Met". It matches the Rfam family "tRNA". Rfam says of the family: Transfer RNA (tRNA) molecules are approximately 80 nucleotides in length. The record is from RNAcentral. Lineage: Bacteria; Bacillati; Bacillota; Bacilli; Lactobacillales; Lactobacillaceae.